This 486-nucleotide ribosomal RNA is filed under the name uncultured bacterium. RNAcentral describes it as "partial 16S ribosomal RNA". It matches the Rfam family "Bacterial small subunit ribosomal RNA", at positions 30 to 507 of the family's 1533-position model. The record is from RNAcentral.
AUUGAACGCUGGCGGCAUGCCUUACACAUGCAAGUCGAGCGGCAGCACGGGUGCUUGCACCUGGUGGCGAGUGGCGAACGGGUGAGUAAUACAUCGGAACAUGUCCUGUAGUGGGGGAUAGCCCGGCGAAAGCCGGAUUAAUACCGCAUACGAUCUACGGAUGAAAGCGGGGGACCUUCGGGCCUCGCGCUAUAGGGUUGGCCGAUGGCUGAUUAGCUAGUUGGUGGGGUAAAGGCCUACCAAGGCGACGAUCAGUAGCUGGUCUGAGAGGACGACCAGCCACCCUGGGACUGAGACACGGCCCAGACUCCUACGGGAGGCAGCAGUGGGGAAUUUUGGACAAUGGGCGAAAGCCUGAUCCAGCAAUGCCGCGUGUGUGAAGAAGGCCUUCGGGUUGUAAAGCACUUUUGUCCGGAAAGAAAUACUUGGCCCUAAUACGGUCGGGGGAUGACGGUACCGGAAGAAUAAGCACCGGCUAACUACGUG